AACACUUUGCUACCAUGAAUCUCUCAAUAAUCAAAUCAUGUCUUAAAAUACAAAAUUAUCACAUCUAGAACUUAACACUAGUUUUCUAAAAAAUAAUGAGAAAAUGUCUUGAAUAAAAUCCAGUGGCAUAAAUUUAGCUCUCAUCGUUUUUUAGCCGGCAUCAACAAUUAAUCUCGUCAUCCAAAAUAACCUGCAUGAAUCUGCAUGAAUGCACAAUAAUAUACAUCAAUUAGUAGCAAGAAAUCAAGUUAUAAGUACAAUACUAUUAUUACUAUCAGUAAUAACAUCCACAAAUACAAAACAUAAAAUCUCUCAAAUAGUAUUUUUAACAUUCAUAAGAGCCAAAAACUCAGAAAAGCUUAAAAAAUAUAUAGACAUGCACUUCAAAGAGAAACAAAAAUUAACACAGAAGAAUAUGAACAAGGCAUGAAAGAAGAUUAAUAAAACUCUAAUCGAAUUUCUUGUCUCGUCACUAAUAGCAUAUUGCCCCUAAAGAACAUACAACACAUAGAUUUACAUUGCCAAAAACUAAAAUUGAAAAAAAAAUAACACCUGGAUUGUCUUCAUUGAAGGUUUUGUUCGUAUUUCUCGGAUAACUUGUUAUUCUCUUCAAGUUUCCAAUCCUUGAAGUUCUUUAUCAGGCCAUUCUUAACAUUCGCCAAUCUAUCAUCUUUCUCCCUUAACGAAUUUUCUAUGAUCAAAUAUUAAAAAGAAUAAAAAAAUACAUUCUAGAAAAUCGGGACAAUUAUAGAUGAAAGAAAUGAAGAACACUUCUUGCUUGAUAACACAUAAACCAAGAACUCUUACAAAACAAAUCAAUUUGAGGUUUACCCUUGCGACCUGCUAAAAAAAAUAGACAAAAGAAAAGGGAAGAUAACUCAACUCAAUAUUGCAAACAAGAUCAUUAAGGUGAUAAAAAAAAAAAAAGCAAAUAUAAAUACUUAAUUAUCUCUUGCAGUGUUUAUAGUCUUAGUGAAAAGCCUCAAAAUUGUGCUCUCGCAGAACAUAUAAUUCAUAGAACAUAGAGACAAACGAGCAAGUUUAACAAACUACUGAGUAACACUAAAUGAUCACGAACAUCUUUCAAGGCAUUGAGUACAACAGAUAAUUCAAUACCUGGAUUAUCUUGACUGUUCAGUUUUUGAUAUUUUUCAGAUAGAUUCUUAUUCUCUUCCGAAUAUACAAUAUAGAGUACGACUUUGUUAAAUCCACCAUCAGAAUUCGGAAAACCUUACACCAAGCUCCAACCCUUCAUGAAGUUCUCCCUAAAUCAAAUGUGAAGAAGCACACUUAAAAAAUAGGACAUUUACAGAGGAAGAAAAUAAGGAUACAGACUUUGUACUUCACAAUCCAGAACACCAACCCAAUAAAUCAAUUUGAGGUUUAGCUUGUC
Molecule: long non-coding RNA, 1393 nt
Filed under: Erythranthe guttata (spotted monkey flower)
Lineage: Eukaryota; Viridiplantae; Streptophyta; Magnoliopsida; Lamiales; Phrymaceae
Description: long non-coding RNA (EGUT_LNC003872)
Source: RNAcentral